UAGGGAAUCUUCGGCAAUGGACGAAAGUCUGACCGAGCAACGCCGCGUGAGUGAAGAAGGUUUUCGGAUCGUAAAACUCUGUUGUUAGAGAAGAACAAGGACGUUAGUAACUGAACGUCCCCUGACGGUAUCUAACCAGAAAGCCACGGCUAACUACGUGCCAGCAGCCGCGGUAAUACGUAGGUGGCAAGCGUUGUCCGGAUUUAUUGGGCGUAAAGCGAGCGCAGGCGGUUUCUUAAGUCUGAUGUGAAAGCCCGCGGCUCAACCGGGGAGGGGCAUUGGAAACUGGGGGACUUGAGUGCAGAAGAGGAGAGUGGAAUUCCAUGUGUAGCGGUGAAAUGCGUAGAUAUAUGGAGGAACACCAGUGGCGAAGGCGGCUCUCUGGUCUGUAACUGACGCUGAGGCUCGAAAGCGUGGGGAGCAAACAGG
RNAcentral lists this ribosomal RNA (429 nucleotides) under Gemmatimonadota bacterium. Its description in RNAcentral is "Gemmatimonadetes bacterium partial 16S ribosomal RNA". It matches the Rfam family "Bacterial small subunit ribosomal RNA", at positions 355 to 776 of the family's 1533-position model. Lineage: Bacteria; Pseudomonadati; Gemmatimonadota. The record is from RNAcentral.